GACGAACGCUGGCGGCGUGCUUAACACAUGCAAGUCGAACGGAAAGGCCCUGCUUUUGUGGGGUGUCCGAGUGGCGAACGGGUGAGUAACACAUGAGUAUCCUGCCCUUGACUGUGGGAUAACUUCAGGAAACCGGUGCUACUACCGGCGAGGAGCUCCUGCUGCAGGGGGGUGGUUGGAAAGUUUCGGCGGAUGGGGCUGGACUCGGGGGUAAUUAGCUUGUUGGUGGGGUAGUGGCUUACGAAGGCUUCGACGGGUGGUCGGCCUGGGAGCGUGGACGGCCUCAAUGGGCCUGCGGUAGGGCCCAGACUCCUAUGGGAGGCAGCGGUGGGGAAUAUUGCACAGCGGGCGGAAGCCUGUUGAGACGACGCCCCGUGCGGGAUGAAGGCCUUCGGGUUGUGAACCGCUUUCGCCUGUGACGAAGCGUGAGUGACGGUAAUGGGUAAAGAAGCACCGGCUAACUACGUG
RNAcentral lists this ribosomal RNA (468 nucleotides) under uncultured bacterium. Its description in RNAcentral is "partial 16S ribosomal RNA". It matches the Rfam family "Bacterial small subunit ribosomal RNA", at positions 28 to 507 of the family's 1533-position model. The record is from RNAcentral.